Corythoichthys intestinalis (scribbled pipefish) is the source of this 7146-nucleotide RNA transcript. RefSeq lists it as uncharacterized. The transcript has 30 exons. NCBI's taxonomy places the organism in Eukaryota, Metazoa, Chordata, Actinopteri, Syngnathiformes, Syngnathidae. The record is from RefSeq and is a predicted model, not a curated record.
CAGUCCACAACACCAGCUUGUCACUCGUUAGCUUUCCCAACAUGUCGUCAGUUCUACCCUUCCUAUUUGAACCAGAUCUGAAAAGUGAAGAGCAGGACAGCACUGUCGGUCGUUCACAAGACGAGCUUCAGGGAAAAAUGCGUGCAGCAAAUACCUAAUAAGACAAAAGUUGGGCAAAACUGGUGAUGCGGGAGAGUCCUGUUGGGAACUCAGGUUGGGAGCGAGAGUGCAUGCUGUUGGGAUUCGGGAACUCCGGUUUUAUUAGCAGAUAUUCAAGGGUAUUGGCACAGUCUCUGAUGCAGAGGUUUGGUACAAGGCCUUUGUCUCAUGGGAGGAGAUCUCUACUGUCUGCUACGGUACAAGAUCAGGCAAGAUAUGACGAACACUCACAAAUGAACCACUUCGUUCAGGAGAUGUCAAUAGCACUGAACAUUAGUGGAAUGUAUGUUAACUAUUGAAUUUAGUACUGUGAUUGAUGAAACUGUAAGAUUGUAUAAAAUAUGCAAUGUGACAAAAUAUGUUAUUUUCAAAUAAAACAAAACUGUUGACAUAUCUUCAGUUUUAGCCUGUGUUCACUUUCAAAGCUUUAAAGUGCGAUUACAGCAUAUUAUCCUCAUAGGUCAUAAAGCAUACAUUUGGACCUAUGUGUUGAUUUUUUUUUAAAUUUAAAUUUGUAUUACUGAUUACUUAAAAGGGCUAUCAAUGACACAUGAUUUUGACUUUUAUAUGUCCGGGAAAAAUUUGGGAUUAAAUGGGUUAAGAGUAUAACUUUAACAAUUGUUGUGUUUGAAUUUUCUGGCCCCAGAAAAGGAUACACCGAAAACAUGCAAUGAUACAAUUCAAGAAUUGCUCUUGUAUUAUAACGACUUUGUUGCAAGUGAGUGAUGAUUUUCUCUUUUGCUAUAAAAGCUCGACUUGGCAUUUUUUUCCUAUUUGCUGCGAUUACAGCUGGUGCCUCGAAUUACAACUGUUAGGUUUUGUGUUGAUUCCCUCCUAGUGUGUCCUUGUAAUUGCCAUUGAUUUCACCUAGUGUACCGCUCCUUGUGUAUCCUCCAAUCUGCGUCCACCUGUGUCACCCAUCUGUUCCUCAUUGUCUCGUUACCCUUUGUCUGCGUGUGUAUAUAAGCUCCCAGUUUCUUUUCAGUCCUUGUUGCGUCAUCGUCUAUGUCUUUGUCAAAGUCAAGACCUGUCCAAGCCUUCGUGUACCAGUCCCUCCGUUUAAGUAAGUUUUGGUUUGAACAUUGCCAUUUUGAUCCCCAGUCCUUUUGGUUGUACUUUGUGCUUUUGGUUAGUUGUUAUUAAAACGUGUUUUGAGUUCAGCGCCACCUGCCUUGCUGCUUUUUGCUUACCUGCCAUUGGGUCCGCACCACCUGCCUUCCCGCGUUUCCCUGACAGAACUCAGAAAAACCAUUAACUCAAGCAUUGCUAACAUACGUGCCAAAACUUGCCAGCACUGGUAAAUGUGAGUGAUUUUUCUCUUUAGCUAUGAAAAUUUGACCUGGCAUUUUUUUCGGUGUAUUGUGUAAUGUAUUUAGAAAAACUUGGUUAAAUGUAAUGCUAACACACGAUGGAGUCCCCAAUAUUAACCACUUUUAUUAGAAUGUAUUAAGAAAAACUUUAAAUACAUCUGAAGUGUAUUUCUUGUUGUGUUUGCAGCUGUUGCCUCGAAUUACAACUGUUAGGUUUUGUGUUGAUUCCCUCCUAGUGUGUCCUUGUAAUUGCCAUUGAUUUCACCUAGUGUACCGCUCCUUGUGUAUCCUCCAAUCUGCGUCCACCUGUGUCACCCACCUGUUCCUCAUUGUCUCGUUACCCUUUGUCUGUGUGUGUGUACAUAAGCUCCCAGUUUCUUUUCAGUCCUUGUUGCGUCAUCGUCUAUGUCUGUGUCAAAGUCAAGACGUGUCCAAGCCCUCGUGUACCAGUCCUUCCGUUUAAGUAAGUUUUGGUUUGAACAUUGCCUUUUUGAUCCCCGGUCCUUUUGGUUAGUUGUUAUUAAAACGUGUUUUGAGUUCAGCGCCACCUGCCUUGCUGCUUUUUGUUUCCCUGCCAUUGGGUCCACACCACCUGCCUUCCUGCGUUUCCCUGACAGAACUCAGAAAAACCAUAAACUCAAGCAUUGCUAACAUACUUGCCAAAUCUUGCCAGCACUGGUACAUUUGGUUUAAAAGCAUUGUCGGAAGCACUCGUUGACGCAUAUAAAGAGGUGGAUUCAUCGAGAAAAAAAAAAUUCUUGAAAGUCUAGCGAUCGUCUCGAAACAGAUGGAAGUUCUUAAAAAACAAGAUGGAGUCCCCGAUAUCAACCAUAUUUCAAAUGUAUUAAAAAACUUGGUGACAUGUAUCUUAAAAAUAUAACUGUAACUAGGGGUGUACGAUAUCCAUUUUUUGAGACCGAUACCGAUAACUUACUGCUUCUCAAGGUCGAUACCGAUAUGAUAACCGAUAACAAAGAUAUAAUUUUUAAAUGCAUAUUCACCUGAGCUUUUGAACACCUGUAGGUCAAAAAUACUCGUGGUGGAUUCAGCAAAGAUUUGCCUUUGACCUAACCAAAUUUUUCAUGAUCACAUGAACAUUAUUAUAAUGAACUAAAAAAAGACAAGAACAGUUUUGACUUCAAAUAAAGUGCCCCUACAGUGCCCUCCUAUCUUUGAGAAAUGGCUUUCUUCUUGCCACUCUUCCAUAAAGGCCAGAUUUGUGCAGUGUACGACUGAUUGUUGUCGUAUGGACAGACUCUCCCACCUCAGCUGUAGAUCGCUGCAGUUCAUCCAGAGUGAUCAUGGGCCUCUUGGCUGCAUCUCUGAUCAGUUUUUUCCUUGUUUGAGAAGAAAGUUUGGAAGGACGGCCGGGUCUUGGUAGAUUUGCAGUGGUCUGAUGCUCCUUCCAUUUCAAUAUGAUGGCUUGCACAGAGCUCCUUGAGAUGUUUAAAGCUUGGGAAAUCUUUUUUGUAUCCAAAUCCGGCUUUAAACUUCUCCACAACAGUAUCUCGGACCUGCCUUCCUUGGUUUUCAUAAUACUCUCUGCACUUUAAACAGAACCCUGAGACUAUCACAGAGCAGGUGCAUUUAUACGGAGACUUGAUUACACACAUUUGGAUUCUAUUUAUCAUCAUUGGUCAUUUAGGACAACAUUCAGAGAUCCUCACUGAACUUCUGGAGUGAGUUUGCUGCACUGAAAGUAAAGGGGCCGAAUAAUAUUGCACGCCCCACUUUUCAGUUUUUUAUUUGUAAAAGUUUAAAUUAUCCAAUAAGUGUUGUUCCACUUCACGAUUGUGUCCCACUUGUUGUUGAUUCUUGACAAAAAAAUUAAAUUUCAUAUCUUUAUGUUUGAAGCCUGAAAUGUGGCGAAAGGUUGCAAGAUUCAAGGGGGCCGCAUACUUUUGCAAGGCACUGUAUAUAUAUUAUACUCUUGUACUCUUAUGCACUGUGUUUAAUUUGAGAUGUCUCUGGUUGCACUAUGAAAUGCACUUUUCCGCGUGUGAGGUGUGUCCAUGUUACUUUGUCACCUUUUUCACCCCUAACCAGUUUGCAAUGUUUUGCAACAAUUGUUUGAAUUUUUUAGCCCCAGAAAAGGAUACAUCAAAAACAUGCAAUGAUGUAGUGUAAGAGUGUGACAAUAUCUCGAUACAACGAUAUAUCGCGAUAUUUUGCAACCCGAUUGUUUAUCGAUAUGCUCCCGCCAAGUAUCGAUACUUUUAUUUAACAUAUUGGCCAUACAAUGGAGUAUGGAUGCUGUAAACUCCUCAGUGUUUGUUGAGCAAUUCCUUGGCGGUCCACUAGGGGCGCUCGGGAGUGGUGAUGAAGGUAAAGUACACACAAGUCGUCUAGAGAAGAAGAGAGAAGGCUCCAAGUGGGUUGAAAAAAUAAAAAAGCUUCGUGAGAAUGGUGGAGGAAAAAAUGAGAAAAUAUUGCUACAAAUCAUACACGGGGACACACUUCAGAUUUUACACCAACCAGAAAGGAAGUAAGGUGAACAAGGACUUUGCUGUAUGCAAGAACUGUCUAACAAAAAUAAGGUCCACUGGGAGCUGGUGACGAGUUGCACACCGGAUUUCCCCAAGAGAGUCCGGCUGCAGCCUCUCGAUUUCUUCACUGCUUUGCUUUCAUCACUUGAGGUGAGGAAGAAUGUGACUGACCAAGUCUGACAUCUCAAAUGCUGAAACAGAUAGUGGAAAUGCUCAAACCAACGCUUUUGGCUACAAAGAUGCUGGCUCGGAUUACAACGAACCAAAAAUAUUUAUCCAAGCAUUGCUAAAAUACUUGCCAGAACUUAUCAGCACUGGUACAUUUGAUCUGAAAACGUGGUCGGAAGCACUCACCAGGGCAUAUGAAGAGAUUGAUUCAUCGAAAAUAAUAUUUCAGGAGGUUCUACAGCUUACCCGGAAACAGGUGGACGUUCUUAAAAAGAUGAAGAUUCAGAGAGAAAUCGAGAGUAUCCAGACUUCCUUGAUCAUUAUUGCCGUUGGGAUGCUCUUGAUCCUUCUACCAUUUCUAGUGAAAGCAAUCUUGAUGUGCUACUUAAGAGGUGGAUUCAUCGAAAAAAAAAAUUCUUGAAAGUCUAGCGAUUGUCUCGAAACAGAUAGAAGUCCAUAAAACUGCUGCCUCGGAUUACUACCCACAAAAAUCAUUUACCAAACUAUUACGAGAAUACCUUUCAGAACUUGUCAGCACUGGUACAUAGGUGGAUUCGUCGAAAAAAAAAAUUCUUGAAAGUCAAGCGAUCGUCUCGAAACAGAUAGAAGUCCUUAAAAGUGAGUGAUGAUAAAAAAAUUCUUGAAAGUCUAGCGAUCGUCUCGAAACAGAAGUCCUUAAAACUGCUGGCUCGGAUUACAACCAACCAAAAAUAUUUAUCCAAGCAUUGCUAAAAUACUUGCCAGAACUUAUCAGCGCUGGUACAUAAUUUUUUAGACCCAGAAAAGGAUACAUCAAAAACAUGCAAUGAUGUAGUGCAAGAAUUGCUCUUGUAUUAUGACAACUUUGUGACAAAUGCAUCCUUGAAAUACAACGCACAAAUGCCAACAAUUGAAGAAGUGCUAACAUACUUGCCAGAACUUGUCAGCACUGGUACAUAUGAUUAUUCAUCGAGACCACCAGUUGAUUUGAAAACAUGGUCGGAAGCACUCACCAGGGCAUAUGAAGAGGUGGAUUCAUCAAAAAAAAAAAUUCUUGAAAGUCUAGCGAUCGUCUCGAAACGGAUAGAAGUCCUUAAAAGUGAGUGAUGAUAAAAAAAUUCUUGAAAGUCUAGCGAUCGUCUCGAAACAGAUAGAAGUCCUUAAAAAUGCAUCCUUGAAAUACAACGCACAAAUGCCAACAAUUGAAGAAGUGCUAACAUACUUGCCAGAACUUGUCAGCACUGGUACAUAUGAUUAUUCACCGAAACCACCAGUUGAUUUGAAAACAUGGUCGGAAGCACUCACCAGGGCAUAUGAAGAGGUGGAUUCAUCGAAAAAAAAAAAAUUCUUGAAAGUCUAGCGAUCGUCUCGAAACAGAUAGAAGUCCUUAAAAGUGAGUGAUGAUAAAAAAAUUCUUGAAAGUCCAGCGAUCGUCUCGAAACAGAUAGAAGUCCUUAAAAAUGCAUCCUUGAAAUACAACGCACAAAUGCCAACAAUUGAAGAAGUGCUAACAUACUUGCCAGAACUUGUCAGCACUGGUACAUUUGAUUUGAAAACAUGGUCGGAAGCACUCACCAGGGCAUAUGAAGAGGUGGAUUCAUCGAAAAAAAAAAUUCUUGAAAGUCUAGCGAUCGUCUCGAAACGGAUAGAAGUCCUUAAAACCGCAUACUCGGAUUACAACCAAUCACAAACAUUUAUCCAAGCAUUGCUAGAACACUUGCCAGAAUUUAUCAGCGCUGGUAUAAAUGAUUAUUCACCGAAACCACCAGUUGAUUUGAAAACAUGGUCGGAAGCACUCACCAGGGCAUAUGAAGAGAUGAAGAUUCAGAGAGAAAUCGAGAGUAUCCAGACUUCCUUGAUCAUUAUUGCCGUUGGGAUGCUCUUGAUCCUUCUAAUGGAGAAGAUUCAUAGAGCCAUCGACAGUAUACAGACUUCAGUGAUAAAUACUGGCCUUUGGAUUCUCGUGAUCCUUCUACUAUUUCUAGUGAGAGCAAUCUUAAUGUGCUACUUAAGAGAUGAAGAAGAUUCAGAGAGACGCCGACAGUAUACAGACUACUGUGAUAAUUACUGUCAUUUGGAUUUUCUUGAUCCUUCUACAAUUUAUAGUGAGAGCAAACUUUAGGUGCUACUUAAGAACGCUGAUACGACGCAUCAUCCCGCCAGGCCCCCGUCCGAGUUGAUGUUUGCACCCAAUUCGACUACGUUGACUGGAGAGAGUGGAAUCGUUUGAGACGUUAUUUUUAAGUGGUUAUUAUCUGGGUCUUUGCCUUGCUAGGUACCCAGGAAGACAUACAGUUGAAUGGAAUUCAAGGGAGAGAAGUUAAGGAUUGGAAAAAGUCCCAUCAUCUACUCAGUUUAUCCAAGCAGUGACAGACAACAUGAAAGAAAGACUAUUCACAACCACAGCAAACAGAGCUCAGGCAAGUGUCACAUCUUGCAUGACUCGCCGUCAGUCAGAAGAAGAGAAUGACUACUUUAGACCUCUAUUGAUGUUUGCACCCAAUCGACUAUGUUGACUGGAGAGAGUGGAGUCGAUUGAGACGUGAUUUGUAAAUGGUUGUUAUCUUUGCCUUGACAGAUGUUAAGAUGGCCGCCUUUGUGCCAGUAUUGUUUAAAGAGAAACAAGUCACUUUGGAAUAUUGUGUGCAUUUGUUGUGAUCUAGUGGAAUUCUUUUGUUCCUAGACAAAUUCCUGUCUUUGUCAAUUUUUCCACCGUGACCUCUAUAAAUCACAGAUUGUUGUAUAAACUUGGUGAAAUGGCAUGCAAGAUAAUAAAAAAAAAUUGAAAAAAAAAAUCUUGGCCACUUUAUAACAACUUGGGUUGUUGUUCUGAUCUGCUAUGAGAAUUAAAGCAUUUGGUCCACAAUUUUUUUUUUAAGUCCCAUAAUCAAAAAGAAAUGAAUGCAAAAACGCAUUUAAAAGAAAAAAAGGAAACUAACGGAAGGAUAUGGAAUGCACCAUAACCCUUACUCUUGGAGUGUUAAUCUCUAGCUAGAGUAAAGGAGCAUGUGGGUCAGGGUUAACCCUUAUAAACCUCACAAGUG